UGAACGCUAGCGACAGGCUUAACACAUGCAAGUCGAGGGGCAGCAUAGAAGUAGCAAUACUUGGUGGCGACCGGCGCACGGGUGAGUAACGCGUAUGCAACCUACCUAUCAGAGGGGAAUAACCCGGCGAAAGUCGGACUAAUACCGCAUAAAACAGGGGCACCGCAUGGUGAUAUUUGUUAAAGAAAUUCGCUGAUAGAUGGGCAUGCGUUCCAUUAGGUAGUUGGUGAGGUAACGGCUCACCAAGCCGACGAUGGAUAGGGGAACUGAGAGGUUGGUCCCCCACACUGGUACUGAGACACGGACCAGACUCCUACGGGAGGCAGCAGUGAGGAAUAUUGGUCAAUGGGCGGGAGCCUGAACCAGCCAAGUCGCCGUGAAGGAAGAAGGAUCUAUGGUUCGUAAACUUCUUUUGCAGGGGAAUAAAGUGCAGGACGUGUCCUGUUUUGUAUGUACCCUGAGAAUAAGGAUCGGCUAACUCCGUGCCAGCCGCCGC
RNAcentral lists this ribosomal RNA (496 nucleotides) under uncultured bacterium. RNAcentral describes it as "bacterial SSU rRNA". It matches the Rfam family "Bacterial small subunit ribosomal RNA", at positions 30 to 518 of the family's 1533-position model. The record is from RNAcentral.